CCUACGGGGUGCAGCAGUGAGGAAUAUUGGUCAAUGGGCGUAAGCCUGAACCAGCCAAGUCGCGUGAGGGAUGAAGGUUCUAUGGAUCGUAAACCUCUUUUAUAAGGGAAUAAAGUGUGGGACGUGUCCUGUUUUGUAUGUACCUUAUGAAUAAGGAUCGGCUAACUCCGUGCCAGCAGCCGCGGUAAUACGGAGGAUCCGAGCGUUAUCCGGAUUUAUUGGGUUUAAAGGGUGCGUAGGCGGUCUUUUAAGUCAGCGGUGAAAGUCGGUGGCUCAACCAUAGAAUUGCCGUUGAAACUGGAAGGCUUGAGUAGGCUUGAGGCAGGCGGAAUGCGCGGUGUAGCGGUGAAAUGCAUAGAUAUCGCGCAGAACCCCGAUUGCGAAGGCAGCGUGCCGAGGCAUGACUGACGCUGAUGCACGAAAGCGUGGGGAUCGAACAGGAUUAGAUACCCGAGUAGUC
Molecule: ribosomal RNA, 460 nt
Filed under: uncultured bacterium
Lineage: Bacteria
Description: partial 16S ribosomal RNA
Rfam family: Bacterial small subunit ribosomal RNA
Source: RNAcentral